GUAUCUUUGCUCCUAUACUCACAUGGCAUUUGGAUAGCAGGCGGAACCCAAUUUGUGUGUCCACUCCUGCUAAUCCAAACCACCUGCGAGUGCUAGGAAGUUCAGCUAUUUAAGUAUGUAGCCAUUCAGCAACCAAUGUGUCAUGAAUAAGGAUCAG
Long non-coding RNA from Bufo bufo (common toad), 157 nucleotides. RefSeq lists it as uncharacterized. The record is from RefSeq and is a predicted model, not a curated record. Lineage: Eukaryota; Metazoa; Chordata; Amphibia; Anura; Bufonidae. The transcript has 3 exons.